UACGUGGGUGCAAGCGUUGUCCGGAAUUAUUGGGCGUAAAGAGCUCGUAGGCGGUCUGUCGCGUCGGCUGUGAAAACUUGGGGCUCAACCCCAAGCCUGCAGUCGAUACGGGCAGACUAGAGUCCGGCAGGGGAGACUGGAAUUCCUGGUGUAGCGGUGAAAUGCGCAGAUAUCAGGAGGAACACCGGUGGCGAAGGCGGGUCUCUGGGCAGUAACUGACGCUGAGGAGCGAAAGCGUGGGGAGCGAACAGG
RNAcentral lists this ribosomal RNA (252 nucleotides) under uncultured bacterium. Its description in RNAcentral is "partial 16S ribosomal RNA". It matches the Rfam family "Bacterial small subunit ribosomal RNA", at positions 524 to 776 of the family's 1533-position model. The record is from RNAcentral.